RNAcentral lists this non-coding RNA (28 nucleotides) under Mus musculus (house mouse). The record is from RNAcentral. Lineage: Eukaryota; Metazoa; Chordata; Mammalia; Rodentia; Muridae. RNAcentral also lists the same sequence under 1 other name.
UGAUGCUGUAGGAAUUUUCUUUGACUUC